CGAACGGGUGAGUAACGCGUGAGGAAUCUGCCUCAAAGAGGGGGACAACAGUUGGAAACGACUGCUAAUACCGCAUAAGCCCACAGGUCGGCAUCGACCAGAGGGAAAAGGAGCAAUCCGCUUUGAGAUGGCCUCGCGUCCGAUUAGCUAGUUGGUGAGGUAACGGCCCACCAAGGCAACGAUCGGUAGCCGGACUGAGAGGUUGAACGGCCACAUUGGGACUGAGACACGGCCCAG
RNAcentral lists this ribosomal RNA (237 nucleotides) under uncultured bacterium. Its description in RNAcentral is "partial 16S ribosomal RNA". It matches the Rfam family "Bacterial small subunit ribosomal RNA", at positions 99 to 334 of the family's 1533-position model. The record is from RNAcentral.